UGUCUGUUUGGUAGGGGUCUCUAUGUUUUGUCAUGUUUGUUUGCGAUUUACGUGUGUUGCUGAAGAAAGUGCGAGAGAGCUCUAGCGUCCGUCCGCCUACCGUACGGACGCCGCGGCGGCAACGGGUGCGGUCUUU
This is a non-coding RNA of Caenorhabditis elegans, 136 nucleotides long. The record is from Ensembl. Lineage: Eukaryota; Metazoa; Nematoda; Chromadorea; Rhabditida; Rhabditidae.